GGUUAAGUGACUAAGCGUACACGGUGGAUGCCUGGGCAGUCAGAGGCGAUGAAGGACGUACUAACUUGCGAUAAGCGCAGAUAAGGCAGUAAGAGCCGUUUGAGUCUGCGAUUUCCGAAUGGGGAAACCCAACUGCAUAAGCAGUUACUGUUAACUGAAUACAUAGGUUAACAGAGCAAACCGGGGGAACUGAAACAUCUAAGUACCCCGAGGAGAAGAAAUCAACCGAGAUUCCGGUAGUAGCGGCGAGCGAACCUGGAUUAGCCCUUAAGCACUCGGUGAAGUAGGUGAACAAGCUGGAAAGCUUGGCGAUACAGGGUGAUAGCCCCGUAACCGACGCUUCAUCGAGCGUGAAAUCGAGUAGGGCGGGACACGUGAUAUCCUGUCUGAAUAUGGGGGGACCAUCCUCCAAGGCUAAAUACUCCUGACUGACCGAUAGUGAACCAGUACCGUGAGGGAAAGGCGAAAAGAACCCCUGUGAGGGGAGUGAAAUAGAACCUGAAACCGUGUACGUACAAGCAGUAGGAGCACCUUCGUGGUGUGACUGCGUACCUUUUGUAUAAUGGGUCAGCGACUUAUAUUCAGUGGCAAGGUUAACCGUAUAGGGGAGCCGUAGCGAAAGCGAGUCUUAACUGGGCGCUCAGUCUCUGGAUAUAGACCCGAAACCGGGUGAUCUAGCCAUGGGCAGGUUGAAGGUUGAGUAACAUCAACUGGAGGACCGAACCGACUAAUGUUGAAAAAUUAGCGGAUGACUUGUGGCUAGGGGUGAAAGGCCAAUCAAACUCGGAGAUAGCUGGUUCUCCCCGAAAGCUAUUUAGGUAGCGCCUCGGACGAAUACUACUGGGGGUAGAGCACUGUUAAGGCUAGGGGGUCAUCCCGACUUACCAACCCUUUGCAAACUCCGAAUACCAGUAAGUACUAUCCGGGAGACACACGGCGGGUGCUAACGUCCGUCGUGGAGAGGGAAACAACCCAGACCGCCAGCUAAGGUCCCAAAGUAUUGCUAAGUGGGAAACGAUGUGGGAAGGCUCAGACAGCUAGGAUGUUGGCUUAGAAGCAGCCAUCAUUUAAAGAAAGCGUAAUAGCUCACUAGUCGAGUCGGCCUGCGCGGAAGAUGUAACGGGGCUAAGCAAUACACCGAAGCUGCGGCAAUGUCUUUUAGAUAUUGGGUAGGGGAGCGUUCUGUAAGCCGUUGAAGGUGAAUCGUAAGGUUUGCUGGAGGUAUCAGAAGUGCGAAUGCUGACAUGAGUAACGACAAAGGGGGUGAAAAACCUCCUCGCCGGAAGACCAAGGGUUCCUGUCCAACGUUAAUCGGGGCAGGGUGAGUCGACCCCUAAGGUGAGGCCGAAAGGCGUAAUCGAUGGGAAACGGGUUAAUAUUCCCGUACUUCUGACUAUUGCGAUGGGGGGACGGAGAAGGCUAGGUGGGCCAGGCGACGGUUGUCCUGGUUCAAGUGCGUAGGCUUGAGAGUUAGGUAAAUCCGGCUCUCUUUAAGGCUGAGACACGACGUCGAGCUGCUACGGCAGUGAAGUCAUUGAUGCCAUGCUUCCAGGAAAAGCCUCUAAGCUUCAGAUAGUCAGGAAUCGUACCCCAAACCGACACAGGUGGUCGGGUAGAGAAUACCAAGGCGCUUGAGAGAACUCGGGUGAAGGAACUAGGCAAAAUGGUACCGUAACUUCGGGAGAAGGUACGCUCUUGAUGGUGAAGUCCCUCGCGGAUGGAGCUGACGAGAGUCGCAGAUACCAGGUGGCUGCAACUGUUUAUUAAAAACACAGCACUGUGCAAAAUCGCAAGAUGACGUAUACGGUGUGACGCCUGCCCGGUGCCGGAAGGUUAAUUGAUGGGGUUAGCGCAAGCGAAGCUCUUGAUCGAAGCCCCGGUAAACGGCGGCCGUAACUAUAACGGUCCUAAGGUAGCGAAAUUCCUUGUCGGGUAAGUUCCGACCUGCACGAAUGGCGUAAUGAUGGCCACGCUGUCUCCACCCGAGACUCAGUGAAAUUGAAAUCGCUGUGAAGAUGCAGUGUACCCGCGGCUAGACGGAAAGACCCCGUGAACCUUUACUACAGCUUGGCACUGAACAUUGAACCUACAUGUGUAGGAUAGGUGGGAGGCUAUGAAGACGUGACGCCAGUUGCGUUGGAGCCGUCCUUGAAAUACCACCCUUGUAUGUUUGAUGUUCUAACUUAGACCCAUUAUCUGGGUUGAGGACAGUGCCUGGUGGGUAGUUUGACUGGGGCGGUCUCCUCCCAAAGAGUAACGGAGGAGCACGAAGGUGGGCUAAUCACGGUUGGACAUCGUGAGGUUAGUGCAAUGGCAUAAGCCCGCUUAACUGCGAGAAUGACGGUUCGAGCAGGUGCGAAAGCAGGUCAUAGUGAUCCGGUGGUUCUGUAUGGAAGGGCCAUCGCUCAACGGAUAAAAGGUACUCCGGGGAUAACAGGCUGAUACCGCCCAAGAGUUCAUAUCGACGGCGGUGUUUGGCACCUCGAUGUCGGCUCAUCACAUCCUGGGGCUGAAGUCGGUCCCAAGGGUAUGGCUGUUCGCCAUUUAAAGUGGUACGCGAGCUGGGUUUAGAACGUCGUGAGACAGUUCGGUCCCUAUCUGCCGUGGGCGUUGGAAGAUUGAAGGGGGCUGCUCCUAGUACGAGAGGACCGGAGUGGACGAACCUCUGGUGUUCGGGUUGUGUCGCCAGA
This 2690-nucleotide ribosomal RNA is filed under the name Vibrio cholerae. RNAcentral's name for it is "partial 23S ribosomal RNA". It matches the Rfam family "Bacterial large subunit ribosomal RNA". Lineage: Bacteria; Pseudomonadati; Pseudomonadota; Gammaproteobacteria; Vibrionales; Vibrionaceae. The record is from RNAcentral.